RNAcentral lists this ribosomal RNA (460 nucleotides) under uncultured bacterium. Its description in RNAcentral is "partial 16S ribosomal RNA". It matches the Rfam family "Bacterial small subunit ribosomal RNA", at positions 338 to 795 of the family's 1533-position model. The record is from RNAcentral.
CCUACGGGGGGCUGCAGUGAGGAAUAUUGGUCAAUGGACGAGAGUCUGAACCAGCCAAGUAGCGUGAAGGAUGACUGCCCUAUGGGUUGUAAACUGCUUUUAUAUGGGAAUAAAAUGUUCCACGUGUGGGAUUUUGUAUGUACCAUAUGAAUAAGGAUCGGCUAACUCCGUGCCAGCAGCCGCGGUAAUACGGAGGAUCCGAGCGUUAUCCGGAUUUAUUGGGGUUAAAGGGAGCGUAGGUGGGUUUUUAAGUCAGUUGUGAAAGUUUGCGGCUCAACCGUAGAAUUGCAGUUGAUACUGGCAGUCUUGAGUACAGUAGAGGUAGGCGGAAUUCGUGGUGUAGCGGUGAAAUGCUUAGAUAUCACGAAGAACUCCUAUUGCGAAGGCAGUUCACUGGACUGCAACUGACACUGAGGCUCGAAAGUGUGGGUAUCAAACAGGAUUAGAUACCCGAGUAGUC